AGGGCAACAGGUGAAUGCCUUGGCGCUGAGAGGCGAUGAAAGACGCGGUAAGCUGCGAUAAGCAUCGGGGAGGAGCUAAACAUCCUACGAUCCGAUGAUUUCUGAAUGGGGAAACCCGAUGGGAGUCAUGUCCCAUCAUCCUGAGCUGAAUAUAUAGGCCCAGAGAAGCCAACCCGGGGAAGUGAAACAUCUCAGUACCCGGAGGAAGAGAAAUCAAACGAGACUCCCAAAGUAGCGGCGAGCGAAAUGGGAAGAGCCCAAACCGGGUGGUUUCGACCAUUCGGGGUUGUAGGGCCGGCAUACGCGAUUCUGGAGUAGGCAGAGGAAGUGAGCUGGAAAGCUCCGCCACAGCGGGUGAUAGCCCCGUACUCGAAACCGAAAAGGACGCAGCCGGUACCUGAGUACUGCGAGGCACGUGGAACCUCGUGGGAAUCUAGGGGGACCAUCCUCUAAGGCUAAGUACUCCUCAGCGACCGAUAGUGAACUAGUACCGUGAGGGAAAGGUGAAAAGAACCCCUGUUAGGGGAGUGAAAUAGAAUCUGAAACCUGUUGCCUACAAGCUGCGAGAGCUGCUUUUUGCAGUGAUCGCGUGCCUUUUGUAUAAUGAGUCAGCGAGUUACUCUACCGUGCGAGGUUAAGCGAAAGCGUAGCCGUAGUGAAAGCGAGGCUUAAUAGGCCGACUAGUACGUUGGAGUAGACCCGAAACCGGGUGAUCUAUCCAUGAGCAGGUUGAAGCAAGGGUAAAGCCUUGUGGAGGACCGAACCGUCAACGGCUGAAAACGUUCCGGAUGACUUGUGGAUAGGGGUGAAAGGUCAAUCAAACCCGGUGAUAGCUGGUUCUCCCCGAAAUAUAUUGAGGUAUAGCCUCGGGAAUUGAUUAGCGGAGGUAAAGCACUGACAGAGCUAGGGGUCCUACCAGAUUACCAAACUCUAUCAAACUCAGAAUGCCGCUUAAUUGUAUCCCGGGAGUCAGACGGCGGGUGCGAAGGUUCGUCGUCAAAAGGGAAACAGCCCAGACCAACAGCUAAGGUCUCCAAAUCCAUGCUCAGUGGUGAAGGUAGUGGAACCGUUUAGACAGCCAGGACGUUGGCUUAGAAGCAGCCAUCGUUUAAAGAAAGCGUAAUAGCUCACUGGUCUAAUGGCUCUGCGCCGAAAAUGUAACGGGGCUAAGCAUGGUACCGAAGCUUUGGCAAUCUCCUUUGGAGAUUGGGUAGGGGAGCGUUCGCUGCGGGCUGAAGGUGUAUCGGAAGGUAUGCUGGACUGCAGUGAAGUGAUUAUGCUGACAUGAGUAACGAUAAAAUAUGUGAAAAACAUAUUCGCCGAAAACCCGAGGUUUCCUGGGUAAAGGUAAUCUUCCCAGGGUUAGUCGGAUCCUAAGGUGAGGGUGAAAGCCGUAACCGAUGGAAAACAGGUUAAUAUUCCUGUACUUGUUGUGUAGCGCGAUGGAGGGACGCAGGAAGAUAGGCGGGCCGGGUGUUGGAUAUCCCGGUGCAAGCGUGUAGGAAUAUCCGGUAGGCAAAUCCGCCGGACGAAUCUGAGACGCGAGUCCGUGGGCGCAAGCCCUGAAGCCGUUGAGUCUAUGCUGCCUAGAAAAGCUCCUAAGUUUAUCCACAGCAAUCCGUACCGCAAACCAACUCAGGUGGGUGGGAUGAACAAUCCAAGGCGCUCGAGAGAACUCUGGCCAAGGAACUCGGCAAAAUAACCCCGUAACUUCGGAAGAAGGGGUGCUCUCUAGGGUGACAUGUUUAACAUAUGAAGCCCCGGGGAGCCGCAGUGAAUUGGUGGUGGCGACUGUUUACUAAAAACAUAGGUCUGUGCGAAGUCCUAAAGACGACGUAUACGGACUGACGCCUGCCCGGUGCUGGAAGGUUAAAAGGAGGGGUCAGCGCAAGCAAAGCUCCGAAUUGAAGCCCCAGUAAACGGCGGCCGUAACUAUAACGGUCCUAAGGUAGCGAAAUUCCUUGUCGGGUAAGUUCCGACCUGCACGAAUGGCGUAACGAUCUCCACACUGUCUCGGCCAGAGACUCGGUGAAAUUGCAGUCGCGGUGAAAAUUCCGUGUACCCGCAGAAAGACGGAAAGACCCUGUGCACCUUUACUAUAGCUUGACAUUGGAUUUUGGGCCUGCAUGUGUAGGAUAGGUGGGAGGCUGUGAACCCUGUACGCCAGUAUGGGGGGAGCCAUCCUUGAAAUACCACCCUUGCAUGUUUAAGAUCCUAACUUCUUCCGGUUAUCCCGGAGAAAGACAGUGU
RNAcentral lists this ribosomal RNA (2250 nucleotides) under human gut metagenome. Its description in RNAcentral is "bacterial LSU rRNA". It matches the Rfam family "Bacterial large subunit ribosomal RNA", at positions 14 to 2257 of the family's 2925-position model. The record is from RNAcentral.